UGGAAGAGUGAGAUUGUAAGUUUGAGCACCUGCUAAUAAACAAGCACAAAAGUUCAAGCCCCAGUACCUCCAGAAAAAUCACUUCUCUGGGUCUUUGAAGGUCCUAAUUUCUCUCAGCAUAUGUCUGUUUGUCUGGUUUUCUUCAUCCUCUUCAUCUCUUGAUUUGUUUUCCUUCAUUCUGCAAACUCAUGUCUUUCUUGAAGUCUAAAGACUUUUGUUAUUUUCUCCCCUCUACUUUCUCAGGUCUCUCACUUUGGAAUUCCUGAUGAGUGGGUGUUGAAUCUUCUUGAUAUUUUUCCUUGACAUUUUUUUAGCCUGUCUCUUAAGGUUUUUUCUUUUCUUUUUUUUUUUUUAAAUAUUCAGACUCAUUUUUAAUUUCCCCAAAUUUCUUUGAUUUCUCUUUUAAUUCAUUUCCAUUUUAAUUUUAUAGGCCCCGUGUGUUUUGAAAUAAUCUUAAGGGAUAGCAGUUGGAAUUUUUGUUUAAUUUCUACUGCCUAAAUUGUUUUCUGUAGAAUUGUGUUUGUGUGUGUGUGUGUGUGUGUGUGUGUGUGUGUGUAUGUUCAUGUUGAUUGCAUUUUAAGCUGUUAAUUUCUGUAAGGAGCUUAAUUUUUUUUUCAUAUAUAGUAAUGGAUUUGUAGGGGGCUUAAUGGGGAGGCUUCCAUUUGAAGGGUUAAUGCUAUUUCCUGUUAUAAUUUUCCUCUAUAGUUGACUUGUUUUGCAUUUCAAAGAGAUUUCAAAAAUAUAAUCUUCCAUCUACAUAAGGUUAUAGUGAUCUAAAAUAAUUUUUAUUUUAAAGUAUUUCACAUAGACCAAAUAAAAUGGCAAAAGCAAUAUUUCAAGAUCUCAAGCAAGACAGUGGAA
This is a long non-coding RNA of Perognathus longimembris pacificus (Pacific pocket mouse), 861 nucleotides long. RefSeq lists it as uncharacterized. The record is from RefSeq and is a predicted model, not a curated record. Lineage: Eukaryota; Metazoa; Chordata; Mammalia; Rodentia; Heteromyidae. The transcript is spliced from 3 exons.